AGAACGAACGCUGGCGGCAUGCCUAAUACAUGCAAGUCGAACGAACACUUCGGUGUUAGUGGCGCACGGGUGCGUAACGCGUGGGAAUCUGCCCUUGGGUUCGGAAUAACAGUUGGAAACGACUGCUAAUACCGGAUGAUAUCGAAAGAUCAAAGAUUUAUCGCCCAGGGAUGAGCCCGCGUAGGAUUAGCUAGUUGGUGAGGCAAAGGCUCACCAAGGCGACGAUCCUUAGCUGGUCUGAGAGGAUGAUCAGCCACACUGGGACUGAGACACGGCCCAGACUCCUACGGGAGGCAGCAGUAGGGAAUAUUGGACAAGUGGGCGACAAGCCUGACUCCAGCAAUCGCCGCGUGAGUGAGUGAAGGUCCGUUAGGGUUAGUAAGUCUUCGUUUUACCCGAGUAGUGUAAUAAUGACGAGUACGUA
This 424-nucleotide ribosomal RNA is filed under the name uncultured soil bacterium. RNAcentral describes it as "bacterial SSU rRNA". It matches the Rfam family "Bacterial small subunit ribosomal RNA", at positions 26 to 477 of the family's 1533-position model. The record is from RNAcentral.